Diorhabda sublineata is the source of this 4317-nucleotide long non-coding RNA. RefSeq lists it as uncharacterized. Lineage: Eukaryota; Metazoa; Arthropoda; Insecta; Coleoptera; Chrysomelidae. The transcript has 3 exons. The record is from RefSeq and is a predicted model, not a curated record.
GUUUGUGUCUCAUUUCUGGAAUUAUUUGGGAAGAACCUUUAGUUGUUCUGUUAUAUGAAGUGAUUCAUCUGUCUACAGUUGUAGCUUUCCUUACCCAUACAUUUAUCUUUAUACCUGUUGGAAAGAUCUUCUGCGCAAUAUGUGUUUCAUCAUGUUUUGUACUUUACUGUCUGUACAAUGUUAAUGGGUAUUACAACGAACUGAAGGUAAAGAAAAAGUAUUUAAAAGAAAGUAUUUAUUUCAAUGAAGAUAUCUACUUCCGUAAUCAAAAUGUACAAUAAAGUUUUAAGCAUACAUACAAUAAAUAUAAAAUAUAUUACUAAUUCUAUUUUUUUUUCAAUUCUUAAACAUCACAAUUUUAGCAGGGAAAUUCGCUUCACAAAGACCUUAAAGUUGUUUGGUAAAUGUCAAAUCCACAAAAAAUGUAUUUUUCCUUCAUCGUUGAUUUUUUUAUUUCAUUAUAUAAAUGCAAAAUGAUUUUUUCAAUAUUGAACCUGAUUAUGUAUUGGAAAAUAGAGGAAAGAAAUGUUUCUUGUAUGUUCAGUUACAAUAGAAGAUUGAAAUAUCUUUAUUUCACUACCACACCCUAUAUAUUUUUCAAUGUUUCAAAUGUUUUGUUACCAUAUAUUGGGUAUCUUACACCAUAUUAUUAUGUAUCCUUAUAAAUAAAACAAAUGUUUCGAAUUAUUUCAAUAUUAUGUUUUUCGAAAACACUUUUAACAAUUUUAAUUUAAUGAGUAUCUACAUUUUUUGUGACUUCUUUAUUCCGCUAGCUACAACACUAAAUAAGGAGCAAAAGCUCACGUUUAUUAUAAAAAGUUUAAUCAGUUCACAACUUGACAUAUACUUAUUAGCUUACCUCAAGAGUUUUUGUUUUUGCGGUGAUUUCACUUUUAUUCGUUUAAGAAACGGUAUUAUGAUACAUUUUUUAUUAAUGUGUUCGAAAGCUUAGCAUGCCAAUUAAAACCAUACUUUAUACGAAGGGUGUUUAUAUGAGAAGGUACGAAAAGACACUGUGGGUAUAAUGUAAGUCUUUAUUCAAAAGUAAUUACAUAAGCAUCUUACUGUUUAACGAGUCGAAGGAUGCCCUUAUUCCAAAACUCCUGUGGCUGUGACAAUAACCACUCUUGUACUGUGUCACUCAGUUUGUCGCACAUGUUAUUUUUUAAUAAAGAUGGAAGUUACAAGGCGAUAUUCGAAGUUUAAGGUUCGGUAUUUAACCUUAUCCCACUUGAACUUGGUCAUUACCCUUUGUGUGACCGUGGAGACGUGCGUACGCGCGGAAUCACUCCUUCCGUUAGCAGCCUGAGCCGUUUUAUCUUGUUAGCGUAGUCUAAGGAAUGUCUCACUGUUAAUGGCUUUUCCGUGGCAUAGUCGAGGCAUUCGACUAGUAUCGCACCUGGGACAUUAUAAAAGACGAUGGGAAUCACUACCUGCUUCUGCGUCAGACAUGCGCAUAACCAGGCCAGACAACUACAUUUGCGUCCCUAUAUGUCUCACUACUACAUUCAAAGCCUCAUAUUCAAAUUAUAACCGAUUUGAUUAUUUUUUCUUUUUCAUUUGAACAUUCUCAUAUCUACCAGAGCCACUCUGUAUAUUAUAACUAGAAGCUGGCAAUACAGGCAUACUGGCAAAGAUUAAUAGGUUAUUGAUGAAACAUAUAUACCAUUUUAUAACAUUUCUACUUGCCAAUAGAGCCUUAUGUGGAUUCACGGAGAUUAACCAACAUCAACAAUGGGGAAAAAGGUCUGUCAAGAAAGUUUGCACGCAAUUCUCUUUCAUACUAGAGGAUUAGUGAAAUCAAUUGAGCUUAAAGAUCAAUGUACAGUUACAGCGAACUAGUACACCACAAAAUGUUCACCUGCAGUUCUUGAGUCCGUCAAUAAUCAAGUUUUAAUGUUGCAGCAGACCGUUGAAUUUUUACGUCAAAAUAAUGUAACAGUAAUUGAAUUUUCACCUUAUUCGCCCGAUUUGGCCAUGUGUUAUUUCUGCUUAUUCUUCAACCUAAAGAAAUAUUUACGUUGUCGACGUUUCACGACGGAGGAUGAGGUAGAUGAAACAAUUCAGCAUUUUUUUUAAAAGUUCUCCGACAGAUGACUGGCUUUAAGCUUUUAAGUUUCAGUAGCUUCGUUUAUAAAGUGCAUUGAUGUAUGUGGUGAUUAAUUUCAACAUAAAUAAAAUCAUUUUCCUAAAACGACUUGCAGCUUUCUUGUGUCUCAAAAUAUGUAGCGUCACUCGUAUAUUGGUAUUUAAUUUUUAGGAUUAUUAUAGAUUUAACGUAUUAUCCGCUAAAAAGCAAUAAGUGUAACAAGAUACAUAUAAAACAGCAAUGGAAUUUGGAUGACUAUAAUAUGAGCAAGUAAUUAACGUUAAAUUUAAAACAUAGUUCUUAAAUUCUACUCGGUAAGAAAAUUUACACAAAAACAUCAACUAAUCUAGGCACAUUCAUUAUUGCUCUUCACUUGAAAACGUAUAAUGCCAUAUUUCUUUAAAACUAUUGUUAAUAAGUUUAGUCACUCAUUUUAUUUUAUUGUGAUUAUUAUAUAUUAACAAUUUCGAAAGAUUUGUUUUUGUAAUAUAUAAUAACGCAAUUUCUAAUCGAAACAACAGAAUGUAAAACAACUUCAAAGUGUAAUGUUAACUUAAAUUUGUUUACAUGGAGUACCGGAAUCUGUAACAAGUCAACACUUAAACGAUUUAGCUGUUCUAUUUCAAUAUUGAUUAGUAUUAUUUUUGAAAUUUUUGUGUAGAAGACUCAACGUGAACCUUUCAAUUUGAAUAAUAACACUAAAAAUUCGCAGUUUUGGAAUGGAAACGUUAUUAUAUCAGAAAAUUCAAGAGCAACGUUGGUAUUACUAUAGAAAAAAUUCAACAGCUUUUUAGCGAUUAUCAAAAAAUGAACUUUUGUAAAAAUUUUCGGUUUGGUUGGAAAAUUGAAAAAAAAUUAUUUUUGUGAAAUUUUGCACAAAGGGGUUUAUUGAUAAGAGUAUUUUGGGAAAGAUAUAGGUUGUGAAAAAAAUUAUGAAUGGGAAACUCAUGAAAACUGGAUUUUCGGAAAACCAUUAAUUUGAAAAGUAAUAUUGCUCUUAAACCUUGAAAGGAAAACACAUGAUACCUUUCCACAUACUUUCACUAUAAACGCAUAUUAUCAAUUUUUUGGCAAAAAUCUGCAACAUGUUGAAAAAUAUUAAACAUACUCGAAUAAAAACUUCCGAGAUAUUGACUAUUUGUUAGCAUCCAUCAAUAAACAAGACGUGUACCUAAUUACCAGCUUAUGUUUGAUUCACACUAUAACCAACUAUAACACUAUAAAAAUUCAUAGUAUCUACAGUUGUGGAAUGGACACGUUGUAAUAUAAAAAAAUCCAAAAAAGAUUAUUGGUACUAUCAUAGACAAAAUACAACAGCUUUCUCGUUAUUAUACAAAUCUAGUUAGAAAACAUUGAAUUUGAAAUUUUGAAACAAAAUUUCCCUGAUAUUGAUAAAACCUUGUUACAUGCAGUAAAAUAGUAAUAUAGGAUGGGCCAUGAAUUUUUGCACUUUUAUAACUGAAGCCGCGAAACCGACUUCUUGGAAACGUAGUCACAAUGGAUCACUUCACGAGAAAACAACGCGCGUUCUGUGUGAAACAAUUUUACAAAAAGAAUGAUUCUUAUGUCAUUACUCGCCAUUUAGUUCGUUCCUAUGACCAAUUAUACAAUAUUUAUCAAUAUCCAAACGUAAAUUUUAUUAAGUCAUUGGCUUCAAACAUUUGAAGCAAACGACACGAAUAUUAAUUUGAAAUUGCAAUUUCCACUUUUACUUAAAUGGACACGUCAACAAAAAAAUUGCAGAUUUUGCAUUAAAACACCAAAAACAUUUACAUCCCUCAAAAGUGACGGUUUGGGAGGCAAUAUCUUCAAGGGGCAUAGUUGGAUCGUCAAUGCGGCGAUUUAGUAACUGUUAACUCUGGAGAAUGUGAAUUAUGGCGGGUAGAGGUAAGGAGAACCAUCUCUGUGCUACAGAAAGUGUCCAUCAAAUUCUUGACGUUAUGGAGGCGCUACUAUCGCAUGAGUGUAAAUUUUAAAUAAAGCUCUAGUAAUUUAACAUUUUUUAACACUGCAUAUUCAAAUAAGACGAACUGAACGAUCAUAUUAUAUCUCGUCCGACAGGAGCGCCAUUCUGGUCAAAUUUUGAAUUAUAAUUUACCGUCUACAAGCGGACAGUUUUUAAACUUCCAUAUGAGAUGGUACUCCUUCCCUCUACCAUGGGUAACAUGGCCAAUAUUUUGAGGGAUAAUUUCGUCUAAGAAGAUAACUUCAUCUAAUUCAUAUUGCAC